Molecule: long non-coding RNA, 1722 nt
Organism: Hyaena hyaena (striped hyena)
Lineage: Eukaryota; Metazoa; Chordata; Mammalia; Carnivora; Hyaenidae
Exons: 3
Source: RefSeq, a predicted model, not a curated record
UCUGCUUCUGAAUUCUGCAGAGCUGAGAAGGCUGUGGGGCCAUCGCCGCUAUCUCUGAAUGUUCCAGAUGAGGACACUGAGGUCCAGAGAAGGACUGUGAUACCCGAAGACCACACAGAGCGUAUGCCCUAGGUGGCUGACUGCCCUGCCUGUGCUGAGCAUCUACGGCAGACGGGAGAAAAUGGGCAGCAGUGCCAGGACAGCUCCGGGGAAUGUCAUCUGGGAGUGCCCUCUGAUGGGAAAUCAAACCCAAUUUAUCUUGAGCUGCCAAAGACAAGAAAGGUGUGUACCUGGUUUCUUUACAUUAAUAAAGCAAUGGGAUGUAAAAGCCACAGUGGCUUCCUUUCUAUUGUGGACAGAUUCUUGAGAAUGGAAUUUUGAGGUCAGGAAGACUGAGAGAGCACCUAAACGUCUGUCAGUCUAGAAAAUGCAUCCAAGAAAAUGAAGGCCUUUGUGUGUAUGGGGAUGAAGAAAGCUCAAUUUGAAAAAGCCAAGAUGCUCGGAAAAUAUGGAUUUGCCAUUUUGUGAAAACUUCUGGAAGCACUCUUAAAGUUUCUUACCAAGCACCAAACAAAAGAAGGCUCACUUUACUGGAGGAAAUUCACCUAGAGCCAUGCACACGAGGGAUGGGGAGAGGCCAGGAAGUGUCUCUCUCUAGUCAGAGGUGCAUCUGUGAAGAACGGUUAACAUAUUUUGAAGUGGAUUCUGGAGGAAUUGGCAGCUUUGUCACUCCCCUCAGUGAGCCACUCAGUCACACUACAGACACCCUUCAACAUGGCUACCUCCUUGUUUUGUUCAUGAUGACCCUGCAAACAUCAACAAAGAGGAAUUCUUGUUUUUUCAUUUGCUGCAUUUAACACGGAUGUAUUCAAGCUUUCCCAAAAAUCCUGAGAGAAGUCUUGUUGGCAGUCUUAAAAGUCAUCACCUUUAUCAAAAGUGGGUCUCAGAAUCAUAGUGUUUUUACCAGGUGUGUCAAGAAACAAUAGAAAACAAGGGGGCUUCUCUACCACAGAGAAGCUUACUGACUUUGAAGAGGCAAGUUUCACUUUUUCUAACAGAAAAAGAAAAUCCAUUCUUGGAGCACUUAGAAAGAAAGAAUUUUGUCUGUGGGUUGGUUGGCUUCCUUGGCAGAUAUUUUUAACCAUAGGAAUGAGAUGACUCUUAAUUCCCUGAUAUCACCAUUAUGGACACCUCUAAAAACACUGUGAGCUUUCUUGGUUGAUACGAGUCUGACAUCUUUGCAAACUUUCAAGUGCUUUACCUCAAUAGAGCUGAGUUACAAAAUGCUGUCAAUUUACUUGAAAAGAGUAAUCUACAAACACCUGGAAACACUUUAGAACUCUUUCAAAAGUUAUUUCUGUCUUAAUGGUAACAAAAUUGAACCUUAGGGUAAUGUUCUUUUUCUUUCUGAUAUAAACUGCAUCUGAGGUGUUGACCUAGCCAAAGAUGAAUUCAUUGAUCUUAGGACCAACACCCUACUCUAACUAUAGUUUCACUAAAAAGCCCAAAGGAGUUUUGGUGAUCUCCAGGAGACCCUUAUCUGAUUUGUGAAAGUGCUAUGGAAGCUUUAAUUCUAUUUUCAAUACUGUAUCUUUGAGGAUUGGGUUUUCAACAUUGUCAUCAUUAAAAAAAUGUCAAAAUCAACUGGAUUUCUAACAGGACAUGUGUAUUAUCUUGAAAACAAAGUCCAUCAUUUGAUGUUCUUAAUUCAAGGUAAGCCGA